Small nuclear RNA from Paramacrobiotus metropolitanus, 139 nucleotides. RefSeq annotates it as U4 spliceosomal RNA. The transcript has a single exon. The record is from RefSeq and is a predicted model, not a curated record. Lineage: Eukaryota; Metazoa; Tardigrada; Eutardigrada; Parachela; Macrobiotidae.
AGCCUUGUGCACGGGCAGUACUAUUCCCAUGAUGCCUAGCAGAGGAAUAGUUAUUGCUAAUUGAAAACUUUUACCAAUUACCCGCACGCUUGGGGUGAGAUAUCCUCGGGUGAUGCAAUUUUUGGAUGCCCGGAAGGGC